RNAcentral lists this ribosomal RNA (374 nucleotides) under Conus pennaceus. Its description in RNAcentral is "partial 16S ribosomal RNA". It matches the Rfam family "Bacterial large subunit ribosomal RNA", at positions 1940 to 2525 of the family's 2925-position model. The record is from RNAcentral. Lineage: Eukaryota; Metazoa; Mollusca; Gastropoda; Neogastropoda; Conidae.
GGGUACUGACGCAAAGGUAGCAUAAUCAUUUGCCUUAUAAUUGAAGGCUGGAAUGAACGGUUUGACAAGAAUACACCUGUCUCUUUUAGAUUUAUUAGAAUUUUAUUUUUGGGUGAAAAAGCCUAGAUAUGAUUAAAAGACAAGAAGACCCUAUCGAGCUUUAGGAAAAUUAAUAGAGUUAAUUUAGACUAAUAUAAGUAAAAGGAAGACUAUUAAACACUUUGGUUGGGGCAACCGAGGAGUAAGCAAAGCCUCCUUUGAAUGGUAAAUCUUACUUGUAUUGAUCCAAAUUUUUUGAUCAAAGGAAUUAGUUACCGUAGGGAUAACAGCAUUAUCUUUUUUAAGAGCCCAUAUCGAAAAAAAGGUUUGUGACC